ACGCAUUUGACUGAAAAUUAAAUGGCAACAAAGUCAUGCAACUACACAAUCAAAAAGCAGAAUAAAUAUUUAAUUUGCAAUUAAAUUGAAUUUAAUUCCUAAAAUUUCAGCAUAUAAACUGACUAUCCUAUUUACUUUCUAGAUUUCAAAGAAAUUUCAAAGUCCGUGCCAUCAAGUGCACUUCACUAUGUUCCUAAUCCUAAUCACCUGUAGCUAAAAGAACAUGAAUAGACUAUAUACAAAUUGGACGUCAAGCAAGCUGCAGCAAUACAUGCAGAUUACUUUGUUACUAUGAAUCUUUACAUAGGGAAGCCAUAGUUUUGGUAUCCCAUUGGGUGUUCCUGAUUAGGUAAAUGAUCUGCUUGGGGCAUCUCUUGCAAAACAGAGGGCUGGUUAGCAGGGGCGCCUAAAGGAGGGUUCCAAUUUUUAUUAGCUGGCACAGGAACUAAGUUGCUAUCGACAGUGGUAAUAUCAUGGAUGCUAGACCUCUUCCUCUCUUUCUUCACGGCAUUCUGCCGAAGAAAGUACUUCUGGGCAUGACUAGCUACCUGUGUUGGUGUUCUUGUCACCACCACAUUCCUUGAAAUGCUUCUCCAAUCACCCUUGCCAAAUCUUCUGAGUCCAAUUAAAAAUUUCCUGUGUUCUUCUUCCGUCCACGGUGUUCCUUUCUUUCUUUCGGCCUCGCCCAGCUUUGUUUUCUUGCCAAAUGAAAUCGACGCUGCCAUGUCCGAGUCCCAACUCGAGUCAAUAAAAUCAUCGCUGUAAUCUGGUAACUUUACGCGCCCCGAUUCAAUUUCGGCAAUAUCAUGAACCAGAACAUCGUAAUGCUCUGUCACUUCUUGCACCGAUUUUCCUAUAUGAUCAGCGAUUUUUUGCCACCGAUCAGGAGAAUUCUCCGGAAACAGAAUCAGUGCUUCCUCGAAGCGCUUAUCCUCGUAGCGAUUCCAACCAGGAAUCAUGGGGGAAGACGAUGAGUGGGUCAAAAUUGGACUGGACAAGCUGUCAUGAUUCAUUGUUCUUUGACAAAAGAUCGCUUUCCUGGAGAUAUCCUUUAUGAGUUUGGUGGGAGAUUUGAGCUGAGGUUUAUAUACGGAUGCGUUUGUAGUUAUCUGAAUGCUGAAGAGGUUUUGAAAUGUUGGAUUAG
Molecule: unclassified non-coding RNA, 1144 nt
Filed under: Hevea brasiliensis (rubber tree)
Lineage: Eukaryota; Viridiplantae; Streptophyta; Magnoliopsida; Malpighiales; Euphorbiaceae
Source: RNAcentral